CCUACGGGAGGCAGCAGUGGGGAAUAUUGGACAAUGGGCGAAAGCCUGAUCCAGCAAUGCCGCGUGAGUGAAGAAGGCCUUCGGGUUGUAAAGCUCUUUUACCCGGGAAGAUAGUGACUGUACCGGGAGAAUAAGCUCCGGCUAACUCCGUGCCAGCAGCCGCGGUAAUACGGAGGGAGCUAGCGUUGUUCGGAAUUACUGGGCGUAAAGCGUACGUAGGCGGCUUGGUAAGUCAGAGGUGAAAGCCCACGACUCAAUCGUGGAACUGCCUUUGAGACUGCUUCGCUUGAAGAUGGGAGAGGUUAGUGGAAUUCCGAGUGUAGAGGUGAAAUUCGUAGAUAUUCGGAAGAACACCAGUGGCGAAGGCGGCUAACUGGACCAUUCUUGACGCUGAGGUACGAAAGCGUGGGGAGCAAACAGGAUUAGAUACCCUGGUAGUCCACGCCGUAAACGAUGAUAACUAGCUGUCGGGGCUCUUGGAGCUUCGGUGGCGCAGCUAACGCAUUAAGUUAUCCGCCUGGGGAGUACGGCGCAAGGUUAAAACUAAUAAGAAUUGACGG
RNAcentral lists this ribosomal RNA (560 nucleotides) under uncultured bacterium. RNAcentral's name for it is "bacterial SSU rRNA". It matches the Rfam family "Bacterial small subunit ribosomal RNA", at positions 338 to 916 of the family's 1533-position model. The record is from RNAcentral.